Molecule: long non-coding RNA, 611 nt
Organism: Apis dorsata (giant honeybee)
Lineage: Eukaryota; Metazoa; Arthropoda; Insecta; Hymenoptera; Apidae
Exons: 2
Source: RefSeq, a predicted model, not a curated record
GCUGCGGCCGGCCAGAUGCCCGUCGGAGCACAGCAACUACCGCCUACGGCGAAUCCUUACGCCACCGCCACCUACGCACAGCACGCGUCGGUAAGUCCUCCUCUCCUUUUCAUUCCUGACCAACUCGAACUUUAUAUUGGAUUGGAAACAUGCCAUUUUCCUAUAAUCAGUCGUUUUCGUUUUGUACGUGGUUGAUUAUAAGAGAAUGGUAGUUGUUGAGAAUGAUUGUUGGAGAAUUGGGUAGCACAAAUGUCUUACAUGUUUCGUGCGGUUAACAAGGUAACCUAUAAACUGUAUUUGAAAUAUAUAUAUUUUGUUUAGUGAUUUAGAUUUUAUCAUAAAUUUACUCCUAUAGAAAAAGUUUUGAUAAAAUAAUUAUGAUUUUAUUAGAGAAAUACGCGCGCAGACAGCACAAAAGUUAAGAUUUGCGCAGCGAAAGGGUUAACCCUUUCUUGAACCGGGUGGGGCCAUGACAACGUAGCAGACAGUUCUUGUAGAAACAAUGUGCAAAUUUUUCUGAUCAUCUUUUUAUCUUUUAUUGAAGGUUCUUUGUUUUUUGAUUUAUAAUGUAUCUUUUCGAUUCUUGAAAAUAUGUAUAUACAUAUAAAAAU